UCGUUUUUUAGAUCUGUUUUGCUGGUGCUUAAAAUUUGACAUGCCUGAAUGAACUCAUUCUUAUAGUUCUUUUUAUUUCUAUGAUCAAUUUAAUUAAAGUUUCACAUGUUAGUAUACUAUACAUUAAAAAAUCCUAGCUAGUGAGAAUAUUUUAGUCACUCCAUAAACACAUAUUGGUUAGUGUUAGUCAUACUAUUUACGUGUUGUGUUUUCCACAAUAACAUGAUUAAUUAGGUUCCAUCCUUAGCUUAAAGGUCUUCUUCCAAAGGUUCUCAUCGAUUAGUACCGCCAACCUGUACAUAUUAUACUAUUUUUUUACUAUUUUGUUCCCUCAUUGGCUACUAUUUUGUUCUUAUUUUUUGCAUAGGUGAAAUGUGAAGCCAAGCGUGAAGUCGUGAAGCCUAUAUGCAAAGAGUAGCAUAUCAUGUAUUGUAAUAGUAGACUGUAGUAGGCAUAUUUGAGUUGUAGUAGUGUAAAGAUUGUAAUAGACUAAUUUAGUGUUUCUUUGGACGAAUUUUAUUUGUUCUGCGAUCUGUUCGAAAUAUUGAUUUCGUAUGUGAUUUGUAUACCUAUGAAAUGGAAACCUCACAAAUUGUUUGACAAAUUACAA
This 610-nucleotide long non-coding RNA is filed under the name Hordeum vulgare. RNAcentral's name for it is "long non-coding RNA (HVUL_LNC015118)". The record is from RNAcentral. Lineage: Eukaryota; Viridiplantae; Streptophyta; Magnoliopsida; Poales; Poaceae.